CAGGUCACUCCUACGGGAGGCAGCAGUGGGGAAUUUUGCACAAUGGGGGAAACCCUGAUGCAGCAACGCCGCGUGGAGGAUGAAGUCCCUUGGGAUGUAAACUCCUUUCGAUCGGGACGAUUAUGACGGUACCUGGAGAAGCAGCUGCGGCUAACUACGUGCCAGCAGCCGCGGUAAUACGUAGGCAGCAAGCGUUGUUCGGAGUUACUGGGCGUAAAGGGUGUGUAGGCGGUUCUUUAAGUUUGGUGUGAAAUCUCCCGGCUCAACUGGGAGGGUGGACGCCAAACUGGCGCGCUUGAGGCUCGGCGGGGGGCGUGGAAUUCCGGGUGGAGCGGUGAAAUGCGUAGAGAUCGGGUGGAACACCAGGGGCGAAGGCGGCUGCCUGGCCCUGACCUGACGCUGAGGCGCGAGAGCGUGGGGAGCAAACCGGAUUAGAUACCCGGGUAGUCCACGCUGUAAACGAUGAAUGCUAGUUGUCGGCAUGCAUGCAUGUCGGUGACGCAGCUAACGCAUUAAGCACUCCGCCUGGGGAGUACGGUCGCAAGAUUAAAACUUAAAGGAAUUGACG
RNAcentral lists this ribosomal RNA (568 nucleotides) under uncultured Acidobacteriota bacterium. Its description in RNAcentral is "bacterial SSU rRNA". It matches the Rfam family "Bacterial small subunit ribosomal RNA", at positions 329 to 915 of the family's 1533-position model. The record is from RNAcentral. Lineage: Bacteria; Pseudomonadati; Acidobacteriota.